GAUGAACGCUGGCGGCGUGCUUAACACAUGCAAGUCGAACGGGAAACAUUUUAUUGAAGCUUCGGCAGAUUUAGUUUGUUUCUAGUGGCGGACGGGUGAGUAACGCGUGGGUAACCUGCCUCACACUGGGGGAUAACAGUCAGAAAUGACUGCUAAUACCGCAUAAGCGCACGGGAUUGCAUGAUCCAGUGUGAAAAACUCCGGUGGUGUGAGAUGGACCCGCGUUGGAUUAGCCAGUUGGCAGGGUAACGGCCUACCAAAGCGACGAUCCAUAGCCGGCCUGAGAGGGUGGACGGCCACAUUGGGACUGAGACACGGCCCAGACUCCUACGGGAGGCAGCAGUGGGGAAUAUUGCACAAUGGGGGAAACCCUGAUGCAGCGACGCCGCGUGAAGGAAGAAGUAUCUCGGUAUGUAAACUUCUAUCAGCAGGGAAGAAAAUGACGG
RNAcentral lists this ribosomal RNA (446 nucleotides) under uncultured bacterium. RNAcentral describes it as "bacterial SSU rRNA". It matches the Rfam family "Bacterial small subunit ribosomal RNA", at positions 28 to 457 of the family's 1533-position model. The record is from RNAcentral.